AUACGUAGGGAGCGAGCGUUGUCCGGAAUUACUGGGCGUAAAGGGCGCGUAGGCGGCGCUUCAAGUCGUCUGUCAAAUGGGAGGGCUUAACCCUUUUUCGCAGACGAAACUGGAGAGCUUGAGAAGCAGAGAGGCAAACAGAAUUCCUGGUGUAGCGGUGAAAUGCGUAGAUAUCAGGAAGAAUACCAGUGGCGAAGGCGGUUUGCUGGCUGCAUACUGACGCUGAAGCGCGAAAGCCAGGGGAGCAAACGGGAUUAGAUACCCCGGUAGUCCUGGCAGUAAACGAUGUAUGCUGGGUGUGAGACUAGCGAUAGUUUCGUGCCGAAGUUAACACGAUAAGCAUACCGCCUGGGGAGUACGGUCGCAAGAUUGAAACUCAAAUGAAUUGACGGGG
Molecule: ribosomal RNA, 394 nt
Filed under: uncultured bacterium
Lineage: Bacteria
Description: partial 16S ribosomal RNA
Rfam family: Bacterial small subunit ribosomal RNA
Source: RNAcentral